RNAcentral lists this long non-coding RNA (1187 nucleotides) under Bos indicus x Bos taurus (hybrid cattle). RNAcentral describes it as "lncRNA (ENSBIXG00000026745.1)". Lineage: Eukaryota; Metazoa; Chordata; Mammalia; Artiodactyla; Bovidae. The record is from RNAcentral.
AAAAAAAAAAUAACCACACGAAUCAGAUUAACAGAUCGUAAGGAAUUGAAAGGGCCUUCCAGAGCUGCUGGUAUUUCAAACAAGUGGACUCGAACCACAGGAUAAGUAACAAACUACUUUUCCUGGGUGACCAAUCAUACUUUUUUUUUAAUUAAAAAUAUAUUUAUUAAAAUAGAUUACGAUGGAGAAGAAUAUAAUUUUCAAAAUAAUGAUAGCUGAAAACAGAAGACUUAAAAGAAAUGUCAGGCUGUUUCCACCUCGCACACCUUUCGUUCGAUUGCACACACAUUCUUGACAUCAAGUACAUAAACAGGCAAACUGAGGCCCGAAACCAGUCCCACUGAGAGCGAGAGGCCGAGUGGGAGGAGAACCGAGAUUUCCGGGCUCUCGGCCUGGGGUGCUUUCGGCUGGGGGCGGGGGUCCUGUUUGUAAACAGGUGUCCUCGGACAGCCACUGCCGAUUUUUGUCACUCUGCCAACCGGAGGGACGAUUCUGAGUAAUCGCUAGCAGUCAGCGCAGCUGGGGCUAAAAGCGAAAGGGACGCGCGCGCGACGGGCCCGGGAGGGCGACGGGUAAAGCGCGCAGGCGGGGCCGCCGCCGGGUUCCCGCGGGGCGACCGUGCGGUAGGCCUCCUCCCGGACCGCUCUCGACGGCCCCGCCCCGCGCAGGCGGCGGGCGCUGCAGGCCCCGCCCCUGCUCCCAGCCCAGGGGACCCAUCCCGGACCUGAGAAUCCCGGUCCCAAACCCCUCCUCCCAAAAGGGGCUAAAAGGUGCAGGGGGCUUUUGACCAGCCCGUCCAGCUUCAGGUCCUGGGACCGGCGGCCCUGUCCUUGCGCGUGGGAACAGUCAGGUUUGCUGCUUCCAGUCGAAGAGGUUGGAGCUUGAAGAGGAAAACACAGAAGUAUCCUCUCUACUGACUGCAAGAUGUUCUUUAGACUCUACAGUGAGGCGCUGGGAGGGCUGAACAUGAUCCGGGGACCAGAAGACCUAGGCCCAGUCUAAAUAGGAAGCUUUAAGCACUGGCAACUCCAUUUAACUAAUAAGGUAACUAACAAUUUCAAUUGGCUACUACAUUUGUAUAUGUGUAUGUAUGAAGCAGUCAUUUGUAAGUAAAAGAAAAGGAUACUUGAUUGAGGCUAUCUGUUCAAUAAUGUGGUUUUCAUCAUUGAUCUGAGUACUAAUCAGGA